CGACCCCUCAAGCCCGGCUUGGUGUUGGGGCCCCUACGUGCGCCGUAGGCCCCGAACUGCAGUGGCGGGCUCGCCGCGAUCCCGAGCGUAGUAGCGUUACCUCGCUCAGGGCGCGCGGCGGGCGCCGGCCGUGAAAGAAAACCACUUUUCACCCCAAAA
Molecule: unclassified non-coding RNA, 159 nt
Filed under: uncultured Gibberella
Lineage: Eukaryota; Fungi; Ascomycota; Sordariomycetes; Hypocreales; Nectriaceae
Also listed under: 1 other name
Description: sequence contains ITS2
Source: RNAcentral